Molecule: ribosomal RNA, 807 nt
Filed under: Torula mackenziei
Lineage: Eukaryota; Fungi; Ascomycota; Dothideomycetes; Pleosporales; Torulaceae
Description: partial large subunit ribosomal RNA
Rfam family: Eukaryotic large subunit ribosomal RNA
Source: RNAcentral
GAAGCGGCAACAGCUCAAAUUUGAAAUCUGGCUCCUUUGGGGUCCGAGUUGUAAUUUGCAGAGGGAGCUUUUGGCGUCGGUCGUGGUCUAAGUUCCUUGGAACAGGACGUCACAGAGGGUGAGAAUCCCGUACGUGGCCGCCGGCCUUCGCCUUGUAAAGCCCCUUCGACGAGUCGAGUUGUUUGGGAAUGCAGCUCUAAAUGGGAGGUAAAUUUCUUCUAAAGCUAAAUACCCGCCAGAGACCGAUAGCGCACAAGUAGAGUGAUCGAAAGAUGAAAAGCACUUUGGAAAGAGAGUGAAAAAGCACGUGAAAUUGUUGAAAGGGAAGCGCUUGCAGCCAGACGUGCCCGCGGUUGAUCAUCCAGGCUCCAGCCUGGUGCACUCCUCCGCGGGCAGGCCAGCAUCAGUUCGGGCGGUCGGAUAAAGGCCUCUAUCACGUACCACCCCUCGGGGUGGCCUUAUAGGGGAGGCGCAACACGGCCAGCCCGGACUGAGGUUCCGCGCAUCUGCUAGGAUGCUGGCGUAAUGGCGGCAAGCGGCCCGUCUUGAAACACGGACCAAGGAGUCUAACAUCUAUGCGAGUGUUUGGGUGUCAAGCCCGAGCGCGUAAUGAAAGUGAACGGAGGUGGGAACCCUCACGGGUGCACCAUCGACCGAUCCUGAUGUCUUCGGAUGGAUUUGAGUAAGAGCAUAGCUGUUGGGACCCGAAAGAUGGUGAACUAUGCCUGAAUAGGGUGAAGCCAGAGGAAACUCUGGUGGAGGCUCGCAGCGGUUCUGACGUGCAAAUCGAUCGUCAAAUUUGGGCAU